AAACAUGUGAUCACAGCCCGUUGAUGGAGCUAGUUCUAUAAAGUUUGGUUUGAUAUCUCGCUGAAAUUCAUCGCAAUUGUGUUAAAUCAUUUUGGGAGAAUAAUGUCUGUUAAGGUUAGUUUUUAUAAAUGGUUUGGUCGAAUAAAUAUACACCCACGUGGGCAUAUAUUCUCCGAUCCGAGUUCGUGUUUACCAGGUUGGAAUCCGUGAAUGUUUAAUACACUGGUGUAAAAUGUUCGGCGUAAAAUGUUCUUAAUGUUUACGCCAUUGGCGUAAAGCUAACAAAUGAAAUAAAAAUC
This is a non-coding RNA of Paramuricea clavata, 299 nucleotides long. The record is from the annotation of a GenBank genome assembly. Lineage: Eukaryota; Metazoa; Cnidaria; Anthozoa; Malacalcyonacea; Plexauridae.